This 201-nucleotide long non-coding RNA is filed under the name Chloebia gouldiae (Gouldian finch). Its description in RNAcentral is "Erythrura gouldiae (Gouldian finch) lncRNA (ENSEGOG00005003675.1)". The record is from RNAcentral. Lineage: Eukaryota; Metazoa; Chordata; Aves; Passeriformes; Passeridae.
UACUGCGAUCAUCAGGUCUGAGGGCACAGUAGAUGGAAUUCACAAGCCUUUCCAAGUCACCUCCUGCGUAAAGCCCUGAACAGACAGUCCCAGAAGUGAAGAUCGUGGGGUCAGGAAUAGCACUUCCGAUUGAAGAAAUUGUUAGGACCAACACAUUCCAAUCUGCUCAGAAAGGAUCCACAUUUGUUUCAGGAGUGAUUU